GACGAACGCUGGCGGCGUGCUUAACACAUGCAAGUCGAACGGAAAGGCCCUGCUUUUGUGGGGUGCUCGAGUGGCGAACGGGUGAGUAACACGUGAGUAACCUGCCCUUGACUUUGGGAUAACUUCAGGAAACUGGGGCUAAUACCGGAUAGGAGCUCCUGCUGCAUGGUGGGGGUUGGAAAGUUUCGGCGGUUGGGGAUGGACUCGCGGCUUAUCAGCUUGUUGGUGGGGUAGUGGCUUACCAAGGCUUUGACGGGUAGCCGGCCUGAGAGGGUGACCGGCCACAUUGGGACUGAGAUACGGCCCAGACUCCUACGAGAGGCAGCAGUGGGGAAUAUUGCACAAUGGGCGGAAGCCUGAUGCAGCAACGCCGCGUGCGGGAUGACGGCCUUCGGGUUGUAAACCGCUUUCGCCUGUGACGAAGCGUGAGUGACGGUAAUGGGUAAAGAAGCACCGGCUAACUACGUGCCAGCAGCCGCGGUGAUACGUAGGGUGCGAGCGUUGUCCGGAUUUAUUGGGCGUAAAGGGCUCGUAGGUGGUUGAUCGCGUCGAAAGUGUAAUCUUGGGGCUUAACCCUGAGCGUGCUUUCGAUACGGGUUGACUUGAGGAAGGUAGGGGAGAAUGGAAUUCCUGGUGGAGCGGUGGAAUGCGCAGAUAUCAGGAGGAACACCAGUGGCGAAGGCGGUUCUCUGGGCCUUUCCUGACGCUGAGGAGCGAAAGCGUGGGGAGCGAACAGGCUUAGAUACCCUGGUAGUCCAUGCUGUAAACGGUGGGUACUAGGUGUGGGGUCCAUUCCACGGGUUCCGUGCCGUAGCUAACGCUUUAAGUACCCCGCCUGGGGAGUACGGCCGCAAGGCUAAAACUCAAAGGAAUUGACGGGGCCCCGCACAAGCGGCGGAGCAUGCGGAUUAAUUCGAUGCAACGCGUAGAACCUUACCUGGGUUUGACAUGGAUCGGGAGUGCUCAGAGAUGGGUGUGCCUCUUUUGGGGUCGGUUCACAGGUGGUGCAUGGCUGUCGUCAGCUCGUGUCGUGAGAUGUUGGGUUAAGUCCCGCAACGAGCGCAACCCUUGUUCACUGUUGCCAGCACGUUAUGGUGGGGACUCAGUGGAGACCGCCGGGGUCAACUCGGAGGAAGGUGGGGAUGACGUCAAGUCAUCAUGCCCCUUAUGUCCAGGGCUUCACGCAUGCUACAAUGGCUGGUACAGAGAGUGGCGAGCCUGUGAGGGUGAGCGAAUCUCGGAAAGCCGGUCUCAGUUCGGAUUGGGGUCUGCAACUCGACCUCAUGAAGUCGGAGUCGCUAGUAAUCGCAGAUCAGCAACGCUGCGGUGAAUACGUUCCCGGG
This 1343-nucleotide ribosomal RNA is filed under the name uncultured bacterium. Its description in RNAcentral is "16S ribosomal RNA". It matches the Rfam family "Bacterial small subunit ribosomal RNA", at positions 28 to 1378 of the family's 1533-position model. The record is from RNAcentral.